GCGGACCUGACUGCUAUCUGAUUGGUCUAAGCCAUGCGAGUCGUUGUACAUACAAGGCGGACUGCUCAGUAACACGUAGUUAACUUAACCUAUGGAUGGGGAUAACCUCGGGAAACUGAGAAUAAUACCCAAUGGGCCACAGUGCCUGGAAUGGCCUGUGGUUGAAAUGAUUUAUCGCCGUAGGAUAGGACUGCGGCCUAUCAGCUUGUUGGUGAGGUAAUGGCCCACCAAGGCUAUAACAGGUACGGGCUCUGAGAGGAGGGGCCCGGAGACGGGUACUGAGACACGGACCCAGGCCCUAUGGGGCGCAGCAGGCGAGAAACCUUUGCAAUGUGCGAAAGCACGACAAGGUUAAUCCGAGUGUCUCCUGCUAAAGGAGUCUUUUGUCAGUUGUAGAAUCACUGGUGAAUAAGGGGUGGGCAAGUUCUGGUGUCAGCCGCCGCGGUAAAACCAGCACCUCGAGUGGUCAGGAGGUUUAUUGGGCCUAAAGCAUCCGUAGCCGGUUGCAUAAGUUUUCGGUUAAAUCUAUGCGCUUAACGUA
This 541-nucleotide ribosomal RNA is filed under the name uncultured archaeon. Its description in RNAcentral is "bacterial SSU rRNA". It matches the Rfam family "Archaeal small subunit ribosomal RNA", at positions 17 to 566 of the family's 1478-position model. The record is from RNAcentral.